UGAGAUCACAGCAAAGAGAAGAGCUUCACACUCCAGCAAUGCCUUUGAAGGUCACCAAUGUCACUUAGGUAAUUUCUCCCUUCUCUUCCCAUUGUAGCCCCAAUGAAUGUCAAAUUUUUAGAAGAUGACAGCAUAAAUUCAGAAAAGGAUGGUAGAUAUUGAAUCAAACAUCAAAGCAUAGAAGAAAUGUGAUAACCUGAAUCUGAGAAGCCAAGGAAAAGAGGAAGCCUCUUGGAAAAGAGGCUAAGCUAAGAAGGUAGAAAGGAGAAGAAAAGGGCAGCAGGCUAAACCGCUGGUGAGAGAGAACCUUCGUGGCUUGUCUGGUCUGAACUGUACCAAGAGCUGCACCGGAAGUGCUGUUAACCAGGAAGAUGGUGAGAUCGUCUCUGGAGACAGGGUGCAGGUCAAGAGGUACUUCCUCAGCAAGAGUAUGAGUCCAGACACAGGUCACGUAAAAAUGGGAUGCUUCCUGGCCCUCCCGCUCAGUGGGUGGAGCUGUCACAUGACCAGGCUUCCUUGGAUUCCUCUGCGAGCAGGGCAGAACCGUAGGAGAGAACAGCCGCAGAGGGAUGGGAGCUUGUUGCCUGGCUCCAGGCUCCUCUGCCAGCGCUCCCUGUCCACAGUUUGUAGCCGAAUGACUGAAGACCCAGCCUGGUUGUCAGAUCUGGCGUCUUGUCUCACUGCUGUACCUAACUGGUUAAGAUAACUCUCUAAACGUCUGUAAGUUCAGUUUUACUGUGAAUAAAAACGAGCAUCCUAACA
RNAcentral lists this long non-coding RNA (762 nucleotides) under Mus spicilegus (steppe mouse). Its description in RNAcentral is "lncRNA (ENSMSIG00000019411.1)". Lineage: Eukaryota; Metazoa; Chordata; Mammalia; Rodentia; Muridae. The record is from RNAcentral.